GAUGAACGCUGGCGGCGUGCCUAAUACAUGCAAGUCGAGCGAACGGACGAGAAGCUUGCUUCUCUGAUGUUAGCGGCGGACGGGUGAGUAACACGUGGAUAACCUACCUAUAAGACUGGGAUAACUUCGGGAAACCGGAGCUAAUACCGGAUGAUAUUUUGAACCGCAUGGUUCAAAAGUGAAAGACGGUCUUGCUGUCACUUAUAGAUGGAUCCGCGCUGCAUUAGCUAGUUGGUAAGGUAACGGCUUACCAAGGCAACGAUGCAUAGCCGACCUGAGAGGGUGAUCGGCCACACUGGAACUGAGGCACGGUCCAGACUCCUACGGGAGGCAGCAGUAGGGAAUCUUCCGCAAUGGGCGAAAGCCUGACGGAGCAACGCCGCGUGAGUGAUGAAGGUCUUCGGAUCGUAAAACUCUGUUAUUAGGGAAGAACAUAUGUGUAAGUAACUGUGCACAUCUUGACAGUACCUAAUCAGAAAGCCACGGCUAACUACGUG
RNAcentral lists this ribosomal RNA (497 nucleotides) under uncultured bacterium. RNAcentral's name for it is "partial 16S ribosomal RNA". It matches the Rfam family "Bacterial small subunit ribosomal RNA", at positions 28 to 507 of the family's 1533-position model. The record is from RNAcentral.